RNAcentral lists this transfer RNA (65 nucleotides) under Chrysis schencki. Its description in RNAcentral is "tRNA-Asp". Lineage: Eukaryota; Metazoa; Arthropoda; Insecta; Hymenoptera; Chrysididae. The record is from RNAcentral. RNAcentral also lists the same sequence under 1 other name.
AAAGAAUUAGUUAAAUUAUAAUAUUAAAAUGUCAUUUUGAAGUUAUUAAGAAUUAAUAUUCUUUA